This 73-nucleotide transfer RNA is filed under the name Ovis aries (sheep). It matches the Rfam family "tRNA". From Rfam's summary of the family: Transfer RNA (tRNA) molecules are approximately 80 nucleotides in length. Their secondary structure includes four short double-helical elements and three loops (D, anti-codon, and T loops). Further hydrogen bonds mediate the characteristic L-shaped molecular structure. tRNAs have two regions of fundamental functional importance: the anti-codon, which is responsible for specific mRNA codon recognition, and the 3' end, to which the tRNAs corresponding amino acid is attached (by aminoacyl-tRNA synthetases). tRNAs cope with the degeneracy of the genetic code in two manners: having more than one tRNA (with a specific anti-codon) for a particular amino acid; and 'wobble' base-pairing, i.e. permitting non-standard base-pairing at the 3rd anti-codon position. Lineage: Eukaryota; Metazoa; Chordata; Mammalia; Artiodactyla; Bovidae. The record is from Rfam by way of RNAcentral.
UCCCUGAUGGCUCAGACGGUUAAAGCGUCUGCCUGCAAGGCAGGAGACCUGGGUUCAAUUCCUGGGUUGGGAA